UACGUAGGGUCCGAGCGUUGUCCGGAAUUAUUGGGCGUAAAGGGCUCGUAGGCGGUCCGUCACGUCGGGAGUGAAAACUCAGGGCUCAACCCUGAGCGUGCUGCCGAUACGGGCGGACUAGAGGUAUGCAGGGGAGAACGGAAUUCCUGGUGUAGCGGUGGAAUGCGCAGAUAUCAGGAGGAACACCGGUGGCGAAGGCGGUUCUCUGGGCAUUACCUGACGCUGAGGAGCGAAAGCAUGGGGAGCGAACAGG
This 253-nucleotide ribosomal RNA is filed under the name uncultured bacterium. Its description in RNAcentral is "partial 16S ribosomal RNA". It matches the Rfam family "Bacterial small subunit ribosomal RNA", at positions 524 to 776 of the family's 1533-position model. The record is from RNAcentral.